Long non-coding RNA from Gorilla gorilla gorilla (western lowland gorilla), 566 nucleotides. RefSeq lists it as uncharacterized. Lineage: Eukaryota; Metazoa; Chordata; Mammalia; Primates; Hominidae. The record is from RefSeq and is a predicted model, not a curated record. The transcript is spliced from 3 exons.
UCGGGGGACGGGAGGCAGGGGAGGCCCCCGCAGGCCGGCCAGGGGCUGGGGGCUGGGGGCUGGGGGCCGGGGGCCGGCCGCCGGGCACCUGGGGCCCUCUCCCUCCCCUGGCACCACCCUCACCCCGCAGCUCCCCCCCAUACACACCCUCGCUGGAAAGUUCGCCCUGCCCGGGCUGGGCUCCCAGGCAGCCUGGCACCGUGCCAGGCUCGCCGCCGAGCUCGGGCAGCAGGGUGGGGCAAACGCGGAGCACGGAGGACGGGGCCGGGCGACCUGGGCACCAGCAGGACCCGAGGCCAGGAGCCAGGGGCCCAGAAGAUUGAGCUUCUAGAGCCUCAGAGAUGGAAUUCGCCGUUUUGCCGCGAUUUGGCGUUAACUUAUUGACCCACGGGGAGGAGGGUCACUUCCCCUGAAAAGAAGGCAGAGAUGUUUUGCUGUGCCCAGUGUGAGGAAGCGAAGGAAAAGAAAGAUCUUUUGAAAAUGUGUACGUCUACUUGCAGCUUGAAAAUUCCAAGUGCCAGACAUUUUUCUUGGAGGAAAUAAAUGUCUUCAAUUUAUUCAUCUUA